Non-coding RNA from Lolium perenne, 2784 nucleotides. Lineage: Eukaryota; Viridiplantae; Streptophyta; Magnoliopsida; Poales; Poaceae. The record is from RefSeq and is a predicted model, not a curated record.
ACCAUCUAUCGUACAUGAACUCAGAUGUGGUUAUAGGAACGCCUGGGGAAAAAAUUGACGGAUCGGAGAACAGUGAGCAGAAGAGAGGUGGUAGCUGUCGGUGCGGUAGUUGAAAAAGAGGGUCGGGUGCAAUAGGGACGGCGGUAGAGAGAACGCUGCGAUGGAGGUGCAGUGCAACCUCUGCAGCUGGAUUCCCGUCCAGGGUGCAAGCGCGGACAGCAAUCCCUAGGAGCACGGCCGCCCUGCGUGGUCGGGCUGGAAGAUGGUGCGCUGAAGGUUCGUUCGAUGGGGGCCGGUGGAAUUCAGUCGCGUCGCUCGCCGUACUGCGAACCGGAGCUCGCAGGGAGAAGGGAGGAGCGCGUCACGCGGGCUACCGAUGGGCAGGUCGAGAAACUAUGGGUUCAGAUAUGAAUAGCUGAACAUACGACAGAAUUGGGUGUGCAUCUGCAGACGUAAAUUGUGCGGAUGCCAUGGAAAAGCAUGGUGAGUGAUAGCGGUACCGUCCGAGAAGACACGGUUGAUGGCUAUGGGGAGCAGCUGCGAGGCAGGCCAGUACAACAUAAACCAAGGAAGCAUAGGUGAUUAUAGUUGAGAGAUGAGGUGACUACACAUGGAGCCUAGAACUGCAAAUAGUUGCUAAAAGAACAGAAGGAAGAACCACUCUGCAGAAAAUAAACACACAGCAGCCUGUAACAUAUCCAUUAUUGCCUGUUUAUUUAUUUCAGGUUUCAACCCGGUGGCGAACUUGUGGAGGCAUCUCGAUGGUUAGCACUCCUACCUGCCUGAAGAAGAGCUGUGUGCCGCUGCAUAGCAGAAUGGGGACGAUGACGCCGACGACGACCAUUCGCGGCAGGACUUUGCAAGGUGACUGUAUGCGAAUGGCUAGAAAGCACGUGUGCCCGUAGGAGUGCGGUAUGCUGACCCAUAGCCAGACGAUGACGACGACUCGCAGCUGCUCUAUGAGCAGAGGUGCAAGGAGUAGCAGAAACUGAAAGAAAAAGAAAAACCUAGUCAGGUACAAAGCGGAAGCAAGAAAAUAACACAAAUGCAUGGAGGAAGCAGGGUGGUCGAACCACGCCACCAUGGAUCAACUCCCACAGCUGGCCCAUGCGGUUGUGGGACGGCAUGAAUAGGAGGAACCGCUGGAUUCCGCGGAGCAUGAGCAGUAGAGGCGUCGGCGCCGGCAAUGGAAGGAUGAAAACAUAGUACAUCAGACGAAGGUGGGCCAGGGAUGUCAACAGCUGCCAAAGAAGCCAGUGGCAAAAGUGUCCAAGAGUUCUGAUCUUGCAAGGAUGGCGGACGUGCGACGUUGUCCCACAGGGAGCAAACCUGGAGAAAAGCAGAAAAAAGUGAGAUGGAAACGAAGAAGGCUGGCAAUAGAAAAGGAAGUGAAGGACAAAGGCAAACCAGGUAGAGAAACAUCAAAGUCGUCUUCAGGCGACCUAGGAGCCAUGGAAGAAUCAACAUCGGAAUGGAAUACACCAGGGAAAAGAGGCUAGAUGAAAGGGGCGCCAGCAGUAGUAAACUCAUCCUGAGCACGCCCUCCAUAAGGUCGAGGCGGAUCCCCAAGAAAAAGAGCAGGAGAAGGCUGAGUAGAAAGGAAGAAAAUAACAUCUUCCCGAAGGAAAAACAAUGAGUAGAAGGAAGCAGUACCAGAGGAUGAAUCGAUGACCGGUCACUUGCCGAGCCAAAUUUGACGUCUCCUCUCAAUUUCUGCAUGUGUUAAGUCAGUCACCGAAGGCAAAAACAUCACUUUGAGUCAUGGACGAAGAAGAAGGCGCAACAGCAGCCGGCGCUGUAGGAGGAACGGCAGAGAAGAGGGGCAGAGACGCCGCAGGCAUGGGCAUGAGAUCAGAAUUUGGAGGGAGGAUCGAGCGUGCACGUCCUCGAGAACGGCCACGACCUGGAGGUCUCCCACGACGCAGACGGCUACCAUCAAAAGCACCACUCGCAGGAGGCGGACGCGGAGGGAGAGCAUGAAGGCCACGGCGGCGAGACGGAGCCGGAGAAUGAGAAGAGGACGGAGGGCGGCCGCGGCGAUGGCCAGCAAAACCGCGCGCGUCUCCAUGGACUACCUGCAAAAGAAGAAACCGGGCAACAUUACACCAUUGUAAAGCAAGGAGAAGAAAAUAGAAGAUAGAAGGCAGGAGGAAGGAGCAGACCGCAGAAGAAGCAGCACGAUGGCCGUCGUGUGUGGCGGCCGCAGAUCGGCGAGGGGGAAGACGCAUGAGCCGGAGUUUCCGUGGCAACACCCCAGCAGGAACGUAACAGAAUUAAAUGGCAAGGAGGAAAAUAAGGAAAAACCGGAAAAAAGAGAAGGCAAGGCGGUGACGGUUGCUGAAAAUGUGGAGCCAACACGUAGCAAUGGAGCAGUCAUAACGUGGCAAACCAGGCAAUUACUAACCCACGAUCACGGAGACGCCGAGGAAAGGAAAGGGAUCGAAGUGAAACGUGCAGUCUCCGGUUGCCGGUCACCCGGAUGCCUAGAAAAAAGGAAAAACCAAACCGAUCACCAACUGGAGAGGAAGAAAUAUGAAACGUGGCAAGCCGCGUAUGGAUGGGAAGGAACGAAAAUAGCUCAUGAACAGUGCGUAAAGAAAGGAGAGGACGUGAAAUCUGCAAAACUUUAUAUAGGGUAUAAUGUUGGGUUCCACAUCUCAGCUAGCUUAUGCUUGGUCUGGUUCAAAACCAAUUCGGUUGGUUGAUUGUUUCUUCUUUCCGUGUUAGUGAUUUCAUCAAUUGAACUGAAAAGGGAUGAAAAAGUGAAGUAUGUUGAGAGUUCAA